This 544-nucleotide ribosomal RNA is filed under the name uncultured bacterium. RNAcentral describes it as "partial 16S ribosomal RNA". It matches the Rfam family "Bacterial small subunit ribosomal RNA", at positions 355 to 909 of the family's 1533-position model. The record is from RNAcentral.
UGGGGAAUAUUGCACAAUAGGCGAAAGCCUGAUGCAGCGACGCCGCGUGAGGGAUGACGGCCUUCGGGUUGUAAACCUCUUUCAGCAGGGAAGAAGCGAAAGUGACGGUACCUGCAGAAGAAGCGCCGGCUAACUACGUGCCAGCAGCCGCGGUAAUACGUAGGGCGCAAGCGUUGUCCGGAAUUAUUGGGCGUAAAGAGCUCGUAGGCGGUUAGUCGCGUCUGCUGUGAAAACUCGAGGCUCAACCUCGGGCUUGCAGUGGGUACGGGCUGACUAGAGUGCGGUAGGGGUGACUGGAAUUCCUGGUGUAGCGGUGGAAUGCGCAGAUAUCAGGAGGAACACCGAUGGCGAAGGCAGGUCACUGGGCCGCAACUGACGCUGAGGAGCGAAAGCAUGGGGAGCGAACAGGAUUAGAUACCCUGGUAGUCCAUGCCGUAAACGUUGGGCACUAGGUGUGGGGUCCAUUCCACGGAUUCCGUGCCGCAGCAAACGCAUUAAGUGCCCCGCCUGGGGAGUACGGCCGCAAGGCUAAAACUCAAAUGAA